RNAcentral lists this ribosomal RNA (900 nucleotides) under Lactifluus volemus. Its description in RNAcentral is "eukaryotic LSU rRNA". It matches the Rfam family "Eukaryotic large subunit ribosomal RNA", at positions 64 to 941 of the family's 3401-position model. The record is from RNAcentral. Lineage: Eukaryota; Fungi; Basidiomycota; Agaricomycetes; Russulales; Russulaceae.
ACUAACAGGAUUCCCCUAGUAACUGCGAGUGAAGCGGGAAAAGCUCAAAUUUAAAAUCUAAUGGUCCUUGGCCAUUCGAGUUGUAAUUUAGAGAAGCGUCUUCCGCGCCAGACCAUGUACAAGUCUCCUGGAACGGAGCGUCAUAGAGGGUGAGAAUCCCGUCUUUGACAUGGACCCUUGGUGCUUCUGUGAUGCGCUCUCAAAGAGUCGAGUUGUUUGGGAAUGCAGCUCAAAAUGGGUGGUGAACUCCAUCUAAGGCUAAAUAUUGGCGAGAGACCGAUAGCGAACAAGUACCGUGAGGGAAAGAUGAAAAGCACUUUGGAAAGAGAGUGAAACAGUACGUGAAAUUGUUGAAAGGGAAACACUUGAAGUCAGUCGCGUCGAUCGAGACUCAGCCUUGSCUYGGCUUGGCGUACUUCUCGACUUGACGGGCCAGCAUCAAUUUCAUCCCUCGGAUAAUGGCAGGGGAAAGGUGGCACCUUCACCGGUGUGUUAUAGUCUCUUGUCGCAUGCGAGGGGUGGGAUUGAGGAACUCAGCACGCACCUCACGGUGUCGGGGCUUCGGCCCACGUUACGUGCUCAGGAUGCCGGCGUAAUGGCUUUAAAUGACCCGUCUUGAAACACGGACCAAGGAGUCUAACAUGCCUGCGAGUGUUCGGGUGGAAAACCCGUGUGCGUAAUGAAAGUAAAAGUUGGGACCUCUGUCGUGGAGGGCACCGACGCCCGGACCAGACCUUCUGUGACGGAUCUGCGGUAGAGCAUGCAUGUUGGGACCCGAAAGAUGGUGAACUAUGCCUGAAUAGGGUGAAGCCAGAGGAAACUCUGGUGGAGGCUCGUAGCGAUUCUGACGUGCAAAUCGAUCGUCAAAUUUGGGUAUAGGGGCGAAAGACUAAUCGAACC